GGGAAACGGAGUGCGCGGCGCCGACCGCGAAACAAACGGC
Molecule: regulatory RNA element, 40 nt
Rfam family: Putative RNA-dependent RNA polymerase ribosomal frameshift site
Source: Rfam